AUAGUAUAUAUAAUGAUAUAGUUAUAUCAUGUAAUCAUGCACAAACUGAAUCUGACUUGACUUUAAGCACAUUAUUGGGACCAUCUCUGAGGAAAGCUAGCUGAGAUGUUGAUACAGCAAGAGGGAAGACAUUGAUGAUUUCAA
Sander lucioperca (pikeperch) is the source of this 144-nucleotide long non-coding RNA. RefSeq lists it as uncharacterized. Lineage: Eukaryota; Metazoa; Chordata; Actinopteri; Perciformes; Percidae. The transcript has 3 exons. The record is from RefSeq and is a predicted model, not a curated record.